Molecule: unclassified non-coding RNA, 378 nt
Filed under: plant metagenome
Description: partial contains 5.8S ribosomal RNA, internal transcribed spacer 2, and large subunit ribosomal RNA
Rfam family: 5.8S ribosomal RNA (bases 1-105)
Source: RNAcentral
GAAAUGCGAUAAGUAAUGUGAAUUGCAGAAUUCAGUGAAUCAUCGAAUCUUUGAACGCACCUUGCGCUCCUUGGUAUUCCUUGGAGCAUGCCUGUUUGAGUAUCAUGAAAUCUUCAAAGUAAAUCUUUUGUUAACUCAAUUGGUUUCUACUUUGGUAUUGGAGGUCUUUGCAGCUUCCCACCUGCUCCUCUUUGUUCAUUAGCUGGAUCUCAGUGUUAUGCUUGGUUCCACUCGGCGUGAUAAGUUAUCUAUCGCUGAGGACACUGUAAAAGGUGGCCAAGGUAAAUGCAGAUGAACCGCUUCUAAUAGUCCAUUGACUUGGACAAUACUUUUAUGAUCUGAUCUCAAAUCAGGUAGGACUACCCGCUGAACUUAAGC